GUACUGGGCUGCUCAAUUUGCACGACAGCAGGAGAUGAUGCAGCAAAUAGCACUAGGGCAACGUCCAGAUUUUUCAGCGAUGACUAUGCCACCUCCUCCACCUAUCCCGCAGUUUGUACCGACUCCACAAUUUAGUUGGCCCACACCUGCACCUCAGGUCCCUCCAGGAAACUUGCUAACUCUGGGAAAUGAGGACUCUGAAGAUGCGGUCGCUUCUUUUGUGGACGGUCUUCUAAACAGUGGAGGAGCUAGCGGAUCAAAUCAACCACAUCCAUUUGAUCAACCUCCUCCAUUUGAGUAGCCUGUCUGCUUGUGUGUUUCUCGUACUAUGGACUUGUGAACUUGUGGUAUUGGGAACUUGUGUUAUUGUGAACUUGUGAACAUUGUGAAUUUGUGAACAUUGUGAACUUGUGCUUUAACUUGUGAACUUGUGUUAUUGUGUGUUUCAUGUGGUAUUGUAUGUGAUUCUGGA
This 472-nucleotide unclassified non-coding RNA is filed under the name Zea mays. RNAcentral's name for it is "misc RNA Zm00001eb050210". The record is from RNAcentral. Lineage: Eukaryota; Viridiplantae; Streptophyta; Magnoliopsida; Poales; Poaceae.